UGGGGAAUAUUGGACAAUGGGCGCAAGCCUGAUCCAGCCAUGCCGCGUGAGUGACGAAGGCCUUAGGGUUGUAAAGCUCUUUCGGCGGGGAAGAUAAUGACGGUACCCGCAGAAGAAGCCCCGGCUAACUUCGUGCCAGCAGCCGCGGUAAUACGAAGGGUGCUAGCGUUGUUCGGAAUCACUGGGCGUAAAGCGCGCGUAGGCGGCGAUAUAAGUCAGAGGUGAAAGCCUGGAGCUCAACUCCAGAACUGCCUUUGAAACUAUAUUGCUAGAGUGUCGGAGGGGAUAGCGGAAUUGCUAAUGUAGAGGUGAAAUUCGUAGAUAUUAGCAGGAACACCGGUGGCGAAGGCGGCUAUCUGGACGACAACUGACGCUGAGGCGCGAAAGCGUGGGGAGCAAACAGGAUUAGAUACCCAGGUAGUCCCUGAGCGGGCUGGCAAGGCGCAU
This 447-nucleotide ribosomal RNA is filed under the name uncultured bacterium. RNAcentral's name for it is "bacterial SSU rRNA". It matches the Rfam family "Bacterial small subunit ribosomal RNA", at positions 355 to 825 of the family's 1533-position model. The record is from RNAcentral.